This 462-nucleotide ribosomal RNA is filed under the name Triticum aestivum (bread wheat). RNAcentral describes it as "partial small subunit ribosomal RNA". The record is from RNAcentral. Lineage: Eukaryota; Viridiplantae; Streptophyta; Magnoliopsida; Poales; Poaceae.
AUGGGUGGCUGGUGGCUCUGUUGCUCGCAGCAGCCCCCAUCGCUCGCCGGAUCUGGCGGCCGGCCAGCACGCGCGGGGACUUGGUUGGGCCCGUUGCCGGCGAGCACAAGUCGCUGCCGUCCGCCGCUUCCUCAUCUUUUGUUGUGCCUUGCGCCACCUAGCGCUCCCCCUUCGCCCCCCUGCUGCUUGCCAUGUAGGCGCCAUAGACAUCGCUCCCUUGCCUCGCGCGUCACCGUCGCCUCGGUCCGACACCUCCAACUCCAAGCCACCGGUCGACGAGUGACACAAUGCCACCCCACCACAGCACCACGAGCGCUACUGGCCCAGCGGGGCCAGUGUUGCUCCCCUCCGGCCUCUCUUUUGAGGUCAACCCUGAGCCUCCUUUGUCCCGCGGCUCCACCUCCGUUCCCGUCCACCAUGGCAUCUCCGUCUCGAUUCGUCCGUCGCGAGAUCCACGAAUAG